Molecule: ribosomal RNA, 207 nt
Filed under: Parreysia corrugata
Lineage: Eukaryota; Metazoa; Mollusca; Bivalvia; Unionida; Unionidae
Description: partial 18S ribosomal RNA
Rfam family: Eukaryotic small subunit ribosomal RNA
Source: RNAcentral
AAAAAUAACAAUACGGGACUCAUUCGAGGCCCCGUAAUUGGAAUGAGUACACUUUAAAUCCUUUAACGAGGAUCCAUUGGAGGGCAAUCUGGUGCCAGCACCGCGGUAAUUCCAGCUCAAUAGCGUAUAUUAAAGUUGCUGCAGUUAAAAAGCUCGUAGUUGGAUCUUGGCGCAGGCUUGCGGUCCGUCUCGCGGCGGUCACUGCUC